RNAcentral lists this ribosomal RNA (516 nucleotides) under uncultured bacterium. RNAcentral's name for it is "bacterial SSU rRNA". It matches the Rfam family "Bacterial small subunit ribosomal RNA", at positions 364 to 896 of the family's 1533-position model. The record is from RNAcentral.
UUGCGCAAUGGGCGAAAGCCUGACGCAGCAACGCCGCGUGGAGGAUGACGGCCUUCGGGUUGUAAACUCCUUGGGUGGGGACGAGGAAGGACGGUACCCACACAACAAGUCACGGCUAACUACGUGCCAGCAGCCGCGGUAAAACGUAGGUGGCGAGCGUUAUCCGGAUUUACUGGGCGUAAAGGGUGUGCAGGCUGCCCGUCAAGUGGUGUAUGAAAGUGCCCGGCUCAACCGGGCUUGGUUAUGCCAGACUGACGGGCUAGAGAGCGAGAGCGGGACGUGGAAUUCCGGGUGUAGUGGUGAAAUGCGUAGAGAUCCGGAGGAACCCCAGAGGCGAAGGCGGCGUCCUGGCUCGCAUCUGACACUCAGACACGACAGCAUGGGGAGCGAACGGGAUUAGAAACCCCGGUAGUCCAUGCCGUAAACGAUGCAUACUAGGCGUCGGGGGACUCAACCCCCUCGGUGCCGCAGUUAACACGGUAAGUAUGCCGCCUGGGGAGUACGACCGCAAGGUUA